RNAcentral lists this ribosomal RNA (465 nucleotides) under uncultured crenarchaeote. Its description in RNAcentral is "bacterial SSU rRNA". It matches the Rfam family "Archaeal small subunit ribosomal RNA", at positions 1 to 449 of the family's 1478-position model. The record is from RNAcentral. Lineage: Archaea; Thermoproteati; Thermoproteota.
AAUCCGGUUGAUCCUGCCGGACCCCACUGCUAUCGGGUUGAGACUAAGCCAUGCGAGUUAGACUUCUUGGCAUAGUAGAGACGCAGCAUACGCUCAGUAACAGUGGCUAACCUCCCUUGAGACGAGGACAACCCGGAAACCUGGGGAUAAUCCGCGAUAGAUGAAAGCGCCUGGAAUGGUCUUCCGUCUAAAAGGUGUUAGGACCAUGCUUCCUGACAUCGCUCAAGGAUGGGGCCGCGACUGAUCAGGUUGUUGGCGGGGAAAAGGCCCACCAAGCCUAUAACCAGUACGGGCCAUGAUAGUGGCAGCCCGGAGAUGGGCACUGAGAUAAGGGCCCAGGCCCUACGGGGCGCAGCAGGCGCGAAAACUUGCCAAUGCGCGAAAGCGUGACGAGGUCAGCCCGAGUCGUCCGCUGAGGACGGCUUUUCUUUGGUUUAAGGAGCCGGGGGAAUAAGCGGGGGGCAA